RNAcentral lists this transfer RNA (77 nucleotides) under bacterium. RNAcentral describes it as "tRNA-Val". It matches the Rfam family "tRNA". Rfam says of the family: Transfer RNA (tRNA) molecules are approximately 80 nucleotides in length. Their secondary structure includes four short double-helical elements and three loops (D, anti-codon, and T loops). Further hydrogen bonds mediate the characteristic L-shaped molecular structure. tRNAs have two regions of fundamental functional importance: the anti-codon, which is responsible for specific mRNA codon recognition, and the 3' end, to which the tRNAs corresponding amino acid is attached (by aminoacyl-tRNA synthetases). tRNAs cope with the degeneracy of the genetic code in two manners: having more than one tRNA (with a specific anti-codon) for a particular amino acid; and 'wobble' base-pairing, i.e. permitting non-standard base-pairing at the 3rd anti-codon position. The record is from RNAcentral.
GGGCGGUUAGCUCAGCUGGUUAGAGCGUCUGCUCGACACGCAGAAGGUCAGUGGUUCGAGCCCACUACCGCCCACCA